Molecule: ribosomal RNA, 875 nt
Filed under: uncultured Candidatus Nitrosopumilus sp.
Lineage: Archaea; Thermoproteati; Nitrososphaerota; Nitrososphaeria; Nitrosopumilales; Nitrosopumilaceae
Description: bacterial SSU rRNA
Rfam family: Archaeal small subunit ribosomal RNA
Source: RNAcentral
CCUGACUGCUAUCGGAUUGAUACUAAGCCAUGUGAGUCAUUGCAGCAAUGCAAGGCAGACGGCUCAGUAACACGUAGUCAACCUACCCUAUAGACGGGGAUAACCUCGGGAAACUGAGGAUAAACCCCGAUAGAUCAUUAUGCCUGGAACGGUUUAUGGUCCAAAUGAUUCGUCGCUAUAGGAUGGGACUGCGGCCUAUCAGUUUGUUGGUGAGGUAAUGGCCCACCAAGACUAUUACAGGUACGGGCUCUGAGAGGAGUGGCCCGGAGAUGGGUACUGAGACACGGACCCAGGCCCUAUGGGGCGCAGCAGGCGAGAAAACUUUGCAAUGUGCGAAAGCACGACAAGGUUAAUCCGAGUGGUUUCUGCUAAAGGAACCUUUUGUUAGUCCUAGAAACACUAACGAAUAAGGGGUGGGCAAGUUCUGGUGUCAGCCGCCGCGGUAAAACCAGCACCUCAAGUGGUCAGGAUGAUUAUUGGGCCUAAAGCAUCCGUAGCCGGCUCAGUAAGUUUUCGGUUAAAUCCAUUAGCUCAACUAAUGGCCUGCCGAAAAUACUGCAGAGCUAGGAAGUGGGAGAGGCAGACGGUACUCGGCAGGAAGGGGUAAAAUCCUUUGAUCUAUUGAUGACCACCUGUGGCGAAGGCGGUCUACCAGAACACGUUCGACGGUGAGGGAUGAAAGCUGGGGGAGCAAACCGGAUUAGAUACCCGGGUAGUCCCAGCUGUAGACGAUGCAGACUCGGUGAUGCGCUGGCUUGUGGCCAGUGCAGUGCCGCAGGGAAGCCGUUAAGUUUGCCGCCUGGGAAGUACGUACGCAAGUAUGAAACUUAAAGGAAUUGGCGGGGGAGCACCACAAGGGGUGAAGCCUGCGGUUC